UUAUGAUUUAAAGAGGAAAUAAUUAUCUUCUUUUACUCGCAUACAACUUCCUGAAGCUUAGAUUGAUAUAAUCAAUAAAAAAUUAUAUAACAUAAAUAAAAAUGUUUAACAAUUGACAUUUAUUUUUUUUUUUAACUAUUCAAUGGAAUUGUCUGUUAUUUACCACAACAGUAUCCUUUUCCUGGCUCCUAUUAACGACGUAACUACGUGAUAUUAAAGUUCCGGCGUUGCAGUUAUGUAUUUUCAAUAAUAUAUAUAUAUAUGAUAUAUUAAAUAUGCGAAUUGCGUGUAUUUACAAGAGCUUAAUGACAUUUUUUUUUAUUUAAAUAUAGACAAAAGAAAACUCGAAUGUGUAAAAUAAUAAUUAAUUAGAUGAUGUAGAAAAAAAUAAUAAUAAUCACAGAAACACAUCAGCUAAAUGUUAUUAUAGAAACUAUAUAUAUAUGUAUAUAUGUAUAUAUUGAACUAAACGAUUCAAGUCCCAUUAGUUGUUGUUUCUGUUUCCGUUUAGAGUAACAUCCAGUGGCUCGUCCAUGGACCUCGUGGCAGGACUGAGAUCAUGCUGCGGUUCACUCGUAAGAUGAUGAUGGAACAUCGGUGGUAUUUGCGGAUGACGUGUGGGCAUUGGUGUUUUUAUAGUAAGAUCCAUUUCAGAUUCUUGGGGUCUGUCUCCUGGUGCUAAAUCAACUUCAAUGUCAGUUGGCGAGGCUGAAUUUCUCGGUGAUCCACAACCGCAUUUCACUCUUUCUGGUGAUUUAUCGCAACUCACUGGGUACCUGAUAAGUUUAAAUUACACAUUAUUGGUAUCCUGGUUUGUUGAAACACCGACGAUCCUGUAGUCUCGGCAGAUUUGAUGGUUCGGAUUAUCAGGAAGCUUGUCCGGCGAUCCCGAGGUUAUUUGAGGCGGCGAAAGACCAGCAGAAGGCGGUGGAGUCAACGAAUCGGAUCUUUCAACUCCUGGAGCUGGUGGAGGUCGGAGAAGAAGUGGUGCGGCACUUCCUAGACCUAGACAACGCAUUCUCCAGGCGUCUUGGAGAAGCUGAAGCCGCGCCUGCUUCCUCCAUUUGGCUCGACGAUUUUGGAACCACACCUGGAUAAAAGGAAAUCCUGAGGGCAACUUCUUCACGUAAAAACACGUCAGGAUAAUGAGUCUUCUGGAAGAGAGACUCGAGCUCUUGGAGCUGCUGAGGGGUAAACGUCGUACGGUUGCGUCUCUGCGUCGAAAAAACAAGAUGAUGAUGAUGAUGACGUUUAAGUAAAGAUGGAAAAGAAACGUACACUGACCUGACGCCGUCGGCCGAACAUGUACUCGAACUCAAAUAACAAAUGAAGAAAAACAUAAAAGAAAAAACUUAAACUUCCGGAGUUUUUAUCAAGAUAAAAUAACAAUUAACUGAAAAUGAUUUAGAGAAAGUUUAUCAACUUUAUCACGAAGGAGCAUGAGUUGAUAAACAUAAGAAAUUUGUUAGCGGUCCAAGUGAUGAUGUGAGACUGAACGAAUCUGCGCCCUCGAGUGAUAGUCAGCAUCCCUCGCGACGUUGAAGGUUCACUCGGGGGUUGCGCAGUAUGUCAUUGGUUGAGUUUCCCACAGAGGCGGUUCUCUUGGUGGAUGAGCCCACCACCCUCUUUGCUACUGGAGCAUCCUCGAGAGAGAAGAAAACUCGAAGCAGGACAAUGAAUACCAAGCACAUGCAAAUCCAAUACUAUAUAGUUAUAUUAUUUGUCUGUAUAUAUGUAAUAUGGUUUUAAAAGUGAGAAAGAGACCGAGAACAUGGAGAUGAGGGUGGCUCGCGUGCUUUUACUUUAUAAGGGUAGCCAGUACCAUUACCACCACCACCGCCACUACCAUCACCACUUAUACCUUCAAAUCAUUGUCUUCCUGGUGCCCCCCCCCCCCUCCCCAUAUUAUUCGUACAUCUUUGCUAAGUUAUUUCCAUUCGAUUGUGGCUCCAAUUCUUCCCCAUUAAACUUUCCUUUUAUCUUCUCCUUCUUCUUUCAAAUCCGACCGAAAAAAGAGAAGAAAAAAAUUUUUUAAAAUCCCACAUGGAAAAUUAUCUCACAUUUUCACCAGCUAAUAAAAUCUCACCCGCGGAUGGAGAGAUGAAUUAAAAUUUGUUAAUAAUUUCUGGUGGACAAAGAAUAAAAAUGACAAUAGAUCUGAAUACAAAUGAAGUUGAGUUUUAUAGACGGGGUAGAAUUUAGUGUCUCACUCGCAUCAUCAUCGACAAAAAACCAAGCAGAGUUAGUACGUAAAAAAUAGGGGGGUGGUGGAAGAGGCGGCAGCGGAGGUGGUUGUAGUGGGACGAGAAAGUUGGGCUGGGGAAGAAGCGCACAACGCAAUCUUUUUAAUUAUGAGAACGUGGCUUUGUAUUUCAUGUUUGUUUUGUUGUCAGCGCGCUACUCUAUUCGGCUUUUUUUAUAUUAUAACGUGGCGCGGGAGGCUGAUGGGUCAGGGGCGGAGGGAAACGACCGGGAGAGUAACGAAGAGAAGGAGAGCGAGUAAGUGAGAUAGAGAAGAAACAGGGGGUAGAAGAGUGAGUUGAAGCCAGGGUGAGAUUGCUUUAGUAAUGAAUUACAUGGCUUGGGGCUAUGUGCCUCUGUCUGAUGCUUCUCUCCCGACCACCGCUACCACCGCUGUUUCCUGGACUCUCUCUCUGACUUUAUUUCUAUAACUCUGUAAAUAACGUACAUAUAUUUUUAACUUUGUUCGUAUGUUCCUUUAUAAGCAUAACUCUGAGAGCUUUCCAUACAUAUAUAAACAUAUAUACCUCAGUUUUAUGCUAUUUCAUUUGUCAGAAAUUUGUGCACCAGUUACAUGAUGUCAUUCCACCAGCUCUUUGCUGUAAAAUUUAAUUUCCUCAAUUCGUUAUUUUUAUUUUAUUUCGUUUACUUGCUACCAGAUCUCCGACCGGACGAUAUUUUAAAAAAUAGUUUUUGAUAUUUAAAUUUUUUUUUCAUGGAUUUAAAAAAAUGCGGGAAAAGUUUUGAAAGUAAGUCAGGUGAAGACAGAUAUAAACACAUCAAAGCCCUGGCAACACUAUUGUUAUAAUGGAAUCAAGAUCGCCAUUGAUUGAGAAAUACAAUGUCGCCGCCCCAAAACGCCCUGGUCUCUCUUUUUCUCUCUCUCUUCUUGGGACAUUAUUAAUUCCCUUGUCAAAACCUCACAACUAUACCCCAUUGCAAUGCGCCACCGCGAGAUACCCGUUCUUUACUUUCACCCCCUCAAUGAUGCUUUUGCUGCACGACUUGCAAUCGUUUAAUUUACUUCUGCCACGCCCAUUUACUUUCUUAUUCCCUCAAGAUGAAAUUAAAAUAUACAACUUCUUAAUCAAAAUAUAAAUAACAACAACAAUAAACAAUAAUUACAAAAAAAGGGAACAAGUAUUUUAGUUUUUUGUCAAAAAAAAAAAAAUAUGAAUUUUGAAUUAUCAAUACAAUUUUAAUUAAUAAACGGAACAAUUAACACGUGUGUACUUUUUAUAAAUUUAAAAAAAAAUUAAUUAUAGUACAGAACCAACUGGUCCCACGCGUAUUUCAAUCUCAUAUUUUUAAAAAUAAAAUAAUGCGGCACAUGGUCACGGACAUGGAUUAAAUCUUGUGAUUGUGAUUGCGCUAAACCUAAACAAUAGCUUAUACCCAUUGACUAUAAAAACCUACCACGUUUUUUUUCAGUCGUCCCGUCUAGUCGAUCCAUCAGCGGGUGGUUACACUCCCACUUUUUCUUCCUCUUUUUCUACAUCACAAUUUUUUUUUUUUUUAUACCAACACGUAUUCUUCCGCCCCAAUUCAUUCAUCCUCUGGAUUAAUUGACUUUUUCCAUACUCGUUUACAUACAUUUAGUAUACAAACAUCCAUAUAUAUAUAUUUAUUUAUUAAACUACGAAUAUUCUUCAGCGGUAAUACCCACUAGUAGACUAAGUAGUAUAAGCAAAUCUCCAGACCUACGGGAUUUGAUUAAAAAUUUUUUAUCAAACUCACUUGUAUUGUCUUUUCAGAUUAAUCCAUCAAAUUUACGAUGAUUGGUACCGUACUCGAGGAUAGAUUAAUAAAAGAGUGAAGGAAGAGUUCCGGUAUCUGGCAUUUUGUUGGACGUAAUUUAAAAUUUUGCGGGCUUAUGGUAUUAUUUGGCACGUGACACACACAUGCACAUGUAUGAUGACUUGAUGACAAAGAUGACACGAGACGUGUUGCAUAUGAGCAAAAGAGAAAUUUAUAUAAAUUUUGUGGGUGUAGCGAGAGAAUUUAUCUCGGUUAGGACGAGGACGCUGCCAGAGACGCAUCGGCGGUGGUAAAGGGUAGUCGGGGGAUGAGAAAACAUUAAUCUAGGCAUGUUUUGUAAUCUCCGACCGCAGUCUAUCUGCUUUUACAUUAUAUAUAUACAUAUUUAAAUGUAUUUGUGCAUGUAUAUAUGUAUAUAAAUGCUACAUAAAUGCAUGUAAAUAUAACAAGAGCAAGUGAAUCAGUGUGUAUAUGCUGGUUUUGUAGUUUAUUAUUGUGUGCGUGUUGGCAUAUAAUGAAAACGCUGUUAUUGCUUGGCUAUAGAGUACUCACAAUGGGCUCGAAAUACAUAAAUUUAGAGAAGAGAGAAAUAUGUCUCUCAGCAUUCGUUCAUUUUUCGUUGUUGCUUUAUUUAUGUGGUAUGGGUACGAAUAUAUAUACUGAAUUUAUAUGUAUAUAUGUAAAAGUGAGAGCGUGAGCGAGAGAGUAAGCAAUGAAAUUACAAAGCGCGAACAUUGAAGUAUACCAAGAUUAAUAUUUCAACUAUCAAGAUGUAUAUGCAAUGAUAUAUUUAUGUAGUAUUUUGUCAGAUGACAGUGAAGUAGCAAUUUCAUUAAUUGAAAUUUAUGUUUAAGUAAUGAAGAUUGGCUGGUUACACCGCCAAGAAGAGAUAAAGAGUAUAAUCAAUGAAAAUGGUCCGGGUGAACAAUUGUCGUGUGACAAAAGGCUCGGGCAUUUUUUUCGGCUCCUCAGUUUCAUUUACCAUGUAAUAAUGCAAAUGAAAGAAAAUUCUGGGGUAGCGCCGAGACUGCUGAGUUACGAGUAUGAGAACGAGAAGAAAAAGGAAAGACUUGGGAAAUAUGCUUGGAGGUCCAGAAAAUGCUGUACAAGGAGACUUGAAGAGCACAAGACACGAUAUUUAUUUUGCCUCGGUUGCCAAAGAUGUAGAAAGGAGAGAGAAGGGGACAAAUUUCUUGGCUGAUUUGUUUGGACAAAAGUGCAGUUUCACACACAAUCCGUCUGGUUGAGACGGAAAUAACUUUCUCUAUUCCUAAAGUGCAUAUACCGGUUUAAGUUGGUACAUUCCGGUCGUGAUAAAAAAUGUACACAAAAGUAUUGUUAUGAUAAUGAAAAUUUUCUUUUCACGAACGUUAAGUUAAUGAGACAAAAAAAAAGUAUAAGAGAAUAGAGGAAAUAAAAAAAUAAAAUUUUUUUCUUGAAUUUUAAAGUUGUCUUCUGAGUGCACCUAUUCUUCUUACAAUACAUUAUUACCGAGUCGACGAGUAAAACGAGUAGAGGACGUUUUAGGUGGUGUCACGAGUUCCUAAACUCGACGGGUGUACAAAAGACAACGAGUAGCAGUCAGUGUUUGGGAAACGUUUUCUAUCAUCGUGUCGCUGGUUGUUUAUCGAAGCAGUACCAUCACCAGCAGAUCUUGUCGUUGUAGCUGUUGGAGGUAUCACCAAGCGAGCUGGAUAUGGGCUUUUAACAGAAGUACUAAGCGGAACUACACGCGCGAACACCUUCCGGGCACAUUUUUUUCUUCUUUAUUUUUCCACUGCCACCAGAGUAUAAUAUAGUAGUAAACCUAUGCAGAUAUAUACUACUGAGCAAGGCUUCUUUUUUACUUCUGCCACAGUGAUUUUGUCAGCCAGGCACGUGGAUGAUCCGUAGCAAAGGAGCCUCGGCAUAGCUUCUCAUUAUCAUUAUUACAUGCUGAAGACAUGUGACUACAUACGUACAUAUCGCAAGAUACGCAUAUAUAAAUGCGUGAAAUGGCAAAUACAAGGGCCGGAAACAAUGAAAUGUAGACAGUAUAUAAUGUAUAAAGAUAUGUAUUCAUUUUUUGUCUCGCAUAGUGGUCUUUUGUCUUUGAACAAAAAAAAUAAUAAUAAUAAUAAUUAUUAUUUUUUUUCUUUAUUCCUCUUAAUUGUAAACUUAUUUUUUUUAUUUUUAUUCCAAGAUUUAAAACAUUAGUCUAAUUACUUUUACUCUGGAAUCAAACAUGCCGAUAGAAAAUGGAGACAUGUUUAUUUAGCGAUAUAUAAGUGACAUCCUGAGCUUUUAUAAAGUCCGAGAAGGCGGUCCCUCAGCGCGGUCGAAUGCACAUACACUAGGGAUAAGUUUAUGUAUAUGUAUAACCCAGAGGUUUACUCACACAUCACUGCAUGUAUACAUAUGAUGGCUAGAGAGCCAGGGAGUAAAGUAAGAGGGAUGAUACUGUAUGCGAUUAAAGUGUAUAAACCCGUGUAAGAGAAAGUAAGCACUGGCUGAGAGAAACUGAAGGGUGUACAUAAUAUACAUAUAUGUGUAUGUGUACUUUGAGCAGUGGUAAUGCGACUAAAUGAAUCCACUAACGGGGUUGGUUUUGCCUAGAUGGUAAUGGUGGAAGGGGUAAUUAAAACCACCCUCGUGCAGAACCACCAAGCGAGAUAGAUAAGCCCACUACUGAGUGCUUCGGUACUCUCUCUUCCUCUCCCUCUUUCUCACUAAAAAACUUUCAACUGUUCGUUUUUCCGUAUCAUUUUAUUUUAUUUACUUCAUUAAUUAAUUAAUUUUCUACAUUCAAUCGCAACCGCUGACUACUCAUUUAUUUUUUUUAAAUUUAUUUUACUAAUUAAUUAAAUAAUAUUUUUAAAAUAAAUAAUAAUUAGCAAGCUGUAAAUAAAAUUGUGUAUGAGAAAUGGAGGAAACAAUAUUUUUCCCAUGAGAAUUUGUUGACAUAAAAUACCGGCUCGAGAUUUAUGAAGGUUCAGUACACAGAAUACUCUGAGGCAUCAGCGACUACCUCAUAAAUGGAACUAAUUACAGUGAUCAACGACGCCGUCCGGAUGCAUAUAUAAUUUAACAUUCAUUACACACAGACAUUUAUAUAAGUAUAUUUAUAUAUUUAUAUGUUAUAGACCUACAGACUAUUGCAUUUAUGCUGUAUGUACAUGUAUACUUGUACAUAUGCGUAUACGUGUCUCGAUGUAUUUAUUGUUAGCGGAAAAAGAAAAGAAAGAAUGAAAAAAAAGAAAAAAAAAAGUAAAUCCCCGGGAUGUGCCUUUGUGCAUCCCCGACAAUUGUUAAACUCUUCUCCAGUACGGAGAAUUAUAUCGUUUUCUCGUUAAUUAGGAUGCUAAUUACCAGCAAUUAAUCACUGCUACCCGUUUAUUUCGGUCGAUCUUGAGGGAGGUCAAGCGAAUCAAUGAAAGGUAUUAGAAGGUCUUAAAUGGAUACGAGAGAUAUUUUGCGAUGGGGGAUGGUAGCGGAUGAGGCUGCCGUGAAAAGCCAAUAGCGGUUUCAGCAGUAGCUUUCGGCAAUGCCAUAGAAAACGGAUAGACGGUGGUUUUGGUAGUUGCGGCGUCUUCGGGAGAGCAGACAAAUGACCUGGAAUAAAUUACGAGCAUGGAGACGAGAUGAUGAAGAGUCGAUGAGAGGCUAAAUUAGAGGCAUGGACGUCUGAAAAAUUCAGAUAAAAGAUGGAAGAAAGGCACAGAGGAGGUAAAACGAGCUGGGUAGCUACAGACACUAAGAGGAAAUUCUAGCGAAUCAUAACCGACCGACAGUAAACAAUGCCCAUUGUCCAGCAUAUCAUUUUCGGCACUCAUUCCCCAUUUCCUGUACCCCCCUCUCUUGCACCACUUCCUCGGUCUGCUUUUUUCCCCAGCUUCCAAAAGGAAACUCGCGAAUUCGCUCGGCCGUUUCGCGCUCCGCGAAUGAAUGCAGUUCUCGGUUUUACUUUUUUCACCUCCAGUCUUCUUUGUAUAUAUGUAUAUAUCUAUUUUUUUUUAUCUACGUCGUAUCCUCUAUCUUCAGCGAUUUUAGAGUCGUUGCAGUAUCCUGGCCAGCGCGUUACACAAUACCCUAUUGUCUUUCUUUUUUUGUCAUCCUGCUGGUACUUUUUAGUCGGCUGUAUCGUCGCCAUUAUUUAUUUUUCCUUAUUUCUAAUU
Molecule: long non-coding RNA, 8153 nt
Organism: Microplitis mediator
Lineage: Eukaryota; Metazoa; Arthropoda; Insecta; Hymenoptera; Braconidae
Exons: 12
Source: RefSeq, a predicted model, not a curated record